This is a long non-coding RNA of Ictalurus punctatus (channel catfish), 457 nucleotides long. Lineage: Eukaryota; Metazoa; Chordata; Actinopteri; Siluriformes; Ictaluridae. The record is from Ensembl.
GUCGCAUCAGCACCGUCCCUGAGCUGACGGAGUCCUUCAAGAGGAUGCUGCGCUUCCGCAACCACAGAGUCCCGUCACUGACUGAUUCGGAUAGCGCCUGUCUGAUCUGCCGUGAAGAAAUGCGCAGGAGAGGUGGAGAACCAGGAAGAUCAGGCCAAGAACUUCACUGUUCUCAUCGCCUCCAUAAAGAGGUGAGGAGGCUGGAGCAGGGUGCGCGUCGACGUAGCCAGAGUUCUGCCGCUGUGCGUGAAAACAGGAAGGAAGUACCAUUCUGCAGCGAGCAGGAAGAACACCGUCUGCCCCGCCAACAUCGGUCUCUACGCAGACAACGCUGAGCUGAGACACACCGAGCAUUUCGAUACGAGAUCGCAGUCAUGACUCAAUUCUUUCUCAGUAAAAUCUUUCCUUCCUUGCUUUUUAGGCAUUUUUUUUUGUUCUCUAAUUUUCCUUAUACGGG